Molecule: ribosomal RNA, 173 nt
Filed under: uncultured bacterium
Lineage: Bacteria
Description: partial 16S ribosomal RNA
Rfam family: Bacterial small subunit ribosomal RNA
Source: RNAcentral
CGAUUACGGGAGGCAGCAGUCGGGAAUAUUGCACAAUGGAGGAAACUCUGAUGCAGUGACACCGCGUAUAGGAAGAAGGUCUUAGGAUUGUAAGCUAUUGUCGUGUGAGAAGAAAAUGACUAUCACAGGAGGAAGCCCUGGCUAAAUAUGUGCCAGCAGCCGCGGUAAUAUCG